GCUUGUCUCAAAGAUUAAGCCAUGCAUGUCUAAGUACAAGCCUCAGUAAGGUGAAACCGCGAAUGGCUCAUUAAAUCACACCUAAUCUACUGGAAAGUUACUAGUUACUUGGAUAACUGAGGUAAUUCUAGAGCUAAUACGUGCGUAAAUCCCGACUCCUGGAAGGGACGUAUUUAUUAGAUUUAAGGCCAACCGAGCUUGCUCGUCUCUUGGUGAAUCAUGAUAACUUCACGAAUCGCAUGGCCUCGCGCCGGCGAUAUUUCAUUCAAAUUUCUGCCCUAUCAAUUGGCGAUGGUAGGAUAGAGGCCUACCAUGGUGUUAACGGGUGACGGGGGAUUAGGGUUCGAUUCCGGAGAGGCAGCCUGAGAAACGGCUACCACAUCCAAGGAAGGCAGCAGG
This 399-nucleotide ribosomal RNA is filed under the name Tetraselmis cordiformis. RNAcentral's name for it is "partial small subunit ribosomal RNA". It matches the Rfam family "Eukaryotic small subunit ribosomal RNA", at positions 30 to 432 of the family's 1831-position model. Lineage: Eukaryota; Viridiplantae; Chlorophyta; Chlorodendrophyceae; Chlorodendrales; Chlorodendraceae. The record is from RNAcentral.